GACGAACGCUGGCGGCGUGCUUAACACAUGCAAGUCGAACGGAAAGGCCCUGCUUUUGUGGGGUGCUCGAUUGGCGAACGGGUGAGUAACACGUGUGUAACCUGCCCUUGACUUUGGGAUAACUUCAGGAAACUGGGGCUAAUACCGGAUAGGAGCUCCUGCUGCAUGUUGGGGGUUGGAAAGUUUCGGCGGUUGGGGAUGGACUCGCGGCUUAUCAGCUGGUUGGUGGGGUAGUGGCGUACCAAGGCUUUGACGGAUAGCCGGCCUGAGAGGGUGACCGGCCACAUGGGGCCUACGAUACGGCGCAGAAUCCUACGGGCCGCAGCAGUGGAGAGUAUUGCGCAAUGGGCGGGAGCCUGAUGCAGCAACGCCGCGUGCGGGAUGCCCUCUUUCGGGUUGUAAACCGCUUUCGCCUGUGACGAAGCGUGCGUGACGGUAAUGGGUAAAGAAGCACCGGCUAACUACGUG
RNAcentral lists this ribosomal RNA (468 nucleotides) under uncultured bacterium. Its description in RNAcentral is "partial 16S ribosomal RNA". It matches the Rfam family "Bacterial small subunit ribosomal RNA", at positions 28 to 507 of the family's 1533-position model. The record is from RNAcentral.